UACGUAGGGUGCGAGCGUUAUUCGGAAUUAUUGGGCGUAAAGAGCUCGUAGGCGGUUUGUCACGUCUGCUGUGAAAUCCCGAGGCUCAACCUCGGGCCUGCAGUGGGUACGGGCAGACUGGAGUGCGGUAGGGGAGAAUGGAAUUCCUGGUGUAGCGGUGGAAUGCGCAGAUAUCAGGAGGAACACCGAUGGCGAAGGCAGUUCUCUGGGCCGUAACUGACGCUGAGGAGCGAAAGCGUGGGGAGCGAACAGG
This 253-nucleotide ribosomal RNA is filed under the name uncultured bacterium. Its description in RNAcentral is "partial 16S ribosomal RNA". It matches the Rfam family "Bacterial small subunit ribosomal RNA", at positions 524 to 776 of the family's 1533-position model. The record is from RNAcentral.